Ictidomys tridecemlineatus (thirteen-lined ground squirrel) is the source of this 1224-nucleotide non-coding RNA. Lineage: Eukaryota; Metazoa; Chordata; Mammalia; Rodentia; Sciuridae. The record is from RefSeq and is a predicted model, not a curated record.
CGAAGAAUGAAUCCUCUCAAAGUUUUAAUUAACCAUGAGAUGGCGCUGUGACUAGAGACGAAAGAUGGAGGAAGAGAAGAGGUGUUCUCUUUUUUCGCUCAGCACGUGCAGCGAUUUGCUCAGCAGCCAGGGAGCUGGAAGGGGAGGGGCUGGGAGUCCAACCGGAAUUCCGCGGUGCGCGCGCCUUCAUAUCCGGGCAUCGUCUGUGUCCAGCCCAUUCCCUGACGUCUCUGACAACUGGAAGCGGAAGUGAAAAAUGGGUAUCCCUGCUACCUCUUAGCAACGCGAGGGGUCAUGUGACACAAACGUUGACUCCAGUAGAGGAAGGGACGGUAGCGGCCAGUACUGGAGCUCUUGCCCCCUCGAUUGCCCGGCCGGGGAUCCGAGCCGAACUGUCAUCGUCAGAAUGUCGGGCAAAGACCGGAUCGAAAUCUUUCCCUCGCGAAUGUAAGUAAAAGAACGAGAGGAGUGGCGCUCUCGGGUUCAGGAACGCCUGCCUGGAGCGUGAUCCCUCCGUACCCUGGACCACCAGUGAGGUUCCUAGUUUCCCGGCCUAUCCUUUGCUCUCUUCCAGGGUCUUGUCUUGAACCUAGGAUUUUCCUGGGUGAACCAGACAGGACAGGGAGAUAGGAAGAGGCGCCGGUCCUGCUGGCUUCUGUGGAGAGAUCACCGUUUAGCGGCGCGACGGAAAAGUCGAGGGGGUUUGUUAAUUACAAGGGACGUUUACCGCCACGGGAAGCAUAUAGAAGGUCCCUUAGUCAAAGUGGGGAUUGAUUCGAGUCGCCCUAGCUUGGACGUCGGAUUCAAUCUUGGAUUCCCUUACUCAUUUUCCAAGAUCCUGAAGUGUCAGCGGCGGUUAGGUCGGUAUCUCUGCGUUUCUGAGGCAGUCCUCUUGCUAUUACCACUGCACCCUUUUAAAAGAUCUCUGUUAAGACUGCUCAUUACAUUGUUAAGAGGAUAUUUGUUUACUACAUAUCGUUCUUUCCCAUCAGCCUGGGGGCUUUAUCUAGGAUGAGAGAGCGUCUUGAUUAAAUCGUCCAUAAAGAUAAUCUACAGAGAAUGUUCCUUGAACCAACCCAUGCUUUGAAAUCUGUUCAGUCCUGUACUGCCUUUUCUAUUGCCCUGAAAUCGUGGUCACAUCGUUGGCCAGUUGUAAUGAAAGUUUUAAAGUUUUCACAAAUGUGCUUAACAACUUGUGAGAAUAAAUAUUGUUCUUGUUUGUGC